This is a long non-coding RNA of Bactrocera neohumeralis, 2634 nucleotides long. RefSeq lists it as uncharacterized. The transcript is spliced from 2 exons. The record is from RefSeq and is a predicted model, not a curated record. NCBI's taxonomy places the organism in Eukaryota, Metazoa, Arthropoda, Insecta, Diptera, Tephritidae.
UCGAAGUUUUUUUAAAAUUUUUAAAUAACAUACGAGUACUAUACAUAUAACGUAGGCUGUGGAUCACGGAUAUGUUAGAUACGUUCGUUUUAAAUCAGUUUUUAACAUUAUUAACAAAAAAAAAAAGAUUAAUAAGCAUAAUUGUUCAUUGAUUAUAUUAAAAGUUUUUCAACAUUUUUCUGAACACAAUGGUACUAGGAUAACCUUUGUGACAUUUACAUAAGUGGCUUUACAGUUAACGGAUUUCGAAAUGAUUUAUUCGCAUUAAUAAAAGUGACAUACAGUAUGAACAAUGGUCGAUUUACUGGGUGCAAAAAAAAAAUAUCGCGUUAGUGGCAAAUGUUUGUCGGAUCGUUUUGAACAAAUUUAUCUAAGAGAAUUCGGGUCUAAAACCGGUUUCGAGCCAGCGAUUUUUAAGGUGAAAUUUUGUAGGGAUUAUAAAAAUUUCGUUGACAGUUUUUGAGAUAUCCGAAUGAAAUUUAAAUCGGAGGGUCUUUCAAACAUUCUAUUGAUCAUUUGUCAUAACUGGCCAGAUUGGACAACUAUAUAACAUAUCGCCCAUACAACCGAUUAUUCGGAUUUAUUAAACUUCGCUUUAAAAAUCGCUGACUCGAAACCGGUUUUAAUCCCACAGCUUUUUAAGUAAAAUUGUUCAGUAUAAUCCGUAGAACAUUUCCCGCAGACGCCAUAUUACAAGAAUUAUUAUUUGUUCAGAAAGCACAUAAUAGGACUGAGUCGAUUUAAAAAAAUUUAUUGAACCAAUCGUUACAGUUCUUUAAAAAGCGCUGCCAGCGAGUUUCACACAGAAUUUAAUCGCGUACCUCUGCUCUAACGAACGCUGCAUUUUCGGCUUGCACCACUCACAGAAACACGUCGCUCGAAAAUGUUUGUCCUGACUCUGCAGGUGCUCGAAAACAACUGACCAGCCGCUCGUUCGUUAGCUAGGAACGUCCCCUACCGAAUCCAGUCGGUGGGCGCACUCUCCGAAGUACAGUCGCGACGGAAGAAUAUCAGUAUCAAUAAUACUUUCCCAAACAAACCCUACAUAGCAAAAAAAAUCGAUCCGCCCUAAUGAUCACCCUGUUAUAUGUAGAUCAUCGUUUUGUGAUAAAAAAUAUUAAUGAUUGUGGUAAAGGUUAAAGAUUCUGUCUGAAAGUCUUAAGGAUAUUCAUAGUAAAACAGUUUAUAACAAAUUUAGAAAAAAAAGUAGUAAUCAGUUGGCAUUAGGUCCGGACUAUAAGAUGGAUGAUUCCGACUGUAAGGGAAUGGCAUGGCGAAUUCUGAAACUCAAUCCCCUCCCAUUGAUUAACCUAGCCGUUUCUGGGAGAAUAUUUCCUUCACGGACGGCAAAUUGUUGCCUGUACAAAUCCGUAUUAAGAGAUUGGCCUUAAAAGAACAGCUGAUAGUAGAUGGUUUUUACCGAUCAUACCAAACACAUGAUUGAAUUAAAAGGUGCACUUUUCGUCACCAGAAACCAUCCGCUUUCCAAAUGGAUCGAAUCAGCGAUUUGCAGUCUUAUUUCUAAACGGAUUUAUGUGCAAUGUUUCGGGUAAUAGAAACAGUGAUUGCCUGAGGGUCAGUCUCGACUAUUUCCAUUAGUUUAGCUUCUUUCACUUCAAAAUUACCGAAACAGACGAAAGUAAAUCGCGUGUGAUUUGAUAUUACUGUAUCAGCGCCAUAAAGAUUAUUAAAAUUUUCAGGAGAAUUGCUUACAUUUUCGUCUUUAUUGAAAAAAAAACUUAAUUUGCGUAUUAUUUCUUUGUUGAUGUUUAUCUUUGCUCAAUUAAUAUUGAGACAAGCACCCACAAUACUGUCUCAGACUUUUUUUGUACGAAAUCUUAUAUUGUCUUUCAAUUAUAAUUUCAACAUUUUUUAAUAAAAUAUAAUUUAAAUUAGGUGGCAACCCUUCUCAACAAUCUUUAUUUGUUAAUCUGCGUUUGUUCAACAACAACCUUAUUGUAUGAAUUCGUUCAUCUUUUAAAUAUUUUGCAUCGAAAUUUGUAAACAGAUGGUAACACCCAACAAAAAAUUUUGCUUUGUUAGCGUUUCAAUUUGUUUUUAAUUUAUAACCAUAUUGUAUGCUUUUUUUUGGCAUUGUUACAUUUACAUAAAUUUGCAAACAGAUGUAGUCUCACUAAAAAUAUUUCUAAUUGCAAGCGUUCUCAAAUCGUUUUAAUUUUAUAAUUAUUUUGUAACUAACCUUUUUAAAAGAGGUACUGCAUAUAAAUAUAUAAGCAGGUGGUAGCCCCUUUAAAACUAUUUUUAACAGUAAACCAGCUUAUUUUUUGUUUUGAACGUUAACAAAUUCUUUGCUGAAACUAUUACACUUAAAAACUAAUUUCGAAGAAAAUACUUAUUUUUAAAAUAAAAUGCUGUAAUUAAUAUAAUUAAAACCUAAUUUCGUAGAAAACAUUUAUUUUUAAAUUAAAAUGUAAACCAUAAACAUCAAAAACAUAUACACAACUAAAUUCUAUUAAUUUCUAUGUGUUAGUACAUUUAGUAUUUGUCAAUUAAAAUUUUAUUUUUGUGCAUGUAUGAGUAUCAUGUGUUUGCGUCUAACUCACACACACUGUACUCGGUUAGUGUCGUAAAACCGAUCGCGUUAAAUGGUCACUCACAUUAAAUGCCUAAAAG